Molecule: non-coding RNA, 72 nt
Organism: Nematostella vectensis (starlet sea anemone)
Lineage: Eukaryota; Metazoa; Cnidaria; Anthozoa; Actiniaria; Edwardsiidae
Source: the annotation of a RefSeq genome assembly
GGGGAUGUAGCUCAGUGAUAGAGCGUCCGCUUUGCAUGCGGAAGGCCAGGGGUUCGAUCCCCCGCAUCUCCA